This 32-nucleotide non-coding RNA is filed under the name Escherichia coli. The record is from RNAcentral. Lineage: Bacteria; Pseudomonadati; Pseudomonadota; Gammaproteobacteria; Enterobacterales; Enterobacteriaceae.
CAGCCGAAGCCAAAGGUGAUGCCGAACACGCU